RNAcentral lists this ribosomal RNA (469 nucleotides) under uncultured bacterium. Its description in RNAcentral is "partial 16S ribosomal RNA". It matches the Rfam family "Bacterial small subunit ribosomal RNA", at positions 28 to 507 of the family's 1533-position model. The record is from RNAcentral.
GACGAACGCUGGCGGCGUGCUUAACACAUGCAAGUCGAACGAUGAAGCGCCAGCUUGCUGGUGUGGAUUAGUGGCGAACGGGUGAGUAACACGUGAGUAACCUGCCCCCUACUCUAGGAUAAGCCUGGGAAACUGGGUCUAAUACUGGAUAUGACCAAUCACUGCAUGGUGUGUUGGUGGAAAGAUUUUUUGGUGGGGGAUGGACUCGCGGCCUAUCAGCUUGUUGGUGGGGUAAUGGCCUACCAAGGCGACGACGGGUAGCCGGCCUGAGAGGGCGACCGGCCACACUGGGACUGAGACACGGCCCAGACUCCUACGGGAGGCAGCAGUGGGGAAUAUUGCACAAUGGGCGAAAGCCUGAUGCAGCGACGCCGCGUGAGGGAUGACGGCCUUCGGGUUGUAAACCUCUUUCACCAGGGACGAAGCUAACGUGACGGUACCUGGAGAAGAAGCACCGGCUAACUACGUG